AUGCGGGACUCAUCAGAGGCCUCGCAAUUGGAAUGAGCGCACUUUAAAUCGUUCGACGAGGAUCUAUUGGAGGGCAAGUCUGGUGCCAGCAGCCGCGGUAAUUCCAGCUCCAAUAGCGUAUAUUAAAGUUGUUGCAGUUAAAAAGCUCGUAGUUGGAUCUGGGGUUCGGGUCGGCGGUUUUGCCGCUUCGGCGGCUACUGCCGUGCUCGACUCUUACUAGCCGGUGCGUCAUGCGGUGCUCUUCAUCGAGUGCCGUAGGAGCCUGGCAUGUUUACUUUGAAAAAAUUAGAGUGCUCAAAGCAGGCGAUUCCGCCUGAAUAGUGUUGCAUGGAAUAAUGGAAUAGGACCUCGGUUCUAUUUUGUUGGUUUUCGGAACUUGAGGUAAUGAUUAAGAGGGACGGUCGGGGGCAUUCGUAUUUCGGUGUUAGAGGUGAAAUUCUUGGAUCGCUGAAAGACAGACGAAUGCGAAAGCAUCUCCAAGAACGUCUCCAUUAAUCAAGAACGAAAGUCAGAGGUUCGAAGACGAUCAGACACCCUCCUAGUUCUGACCAUAAACGAUGCCAACUAGCGAUCCGCAGUGGUUGCUAUAAACGGACUCUGCGAGCAGCUUCCGGGAAACCAAAGUGUUUGGGUUCCGGGGGAAGUAUGGUUGCAAAGCUGAAACUUAAAGGAAUUGACGGAAGGGCACCACCGGGAGUGGAGCCUGCGGCUUAAUUUGACCCAACACGGGGAAACUCACCCGGUCCGGACACUGUAAGGAUUGACAGAUCGAGAGCUCUUUCUUGAUUCGGUGGAUGGUGGUGCAUGGCCGUUCUUAGUUGGUGGAGUGAUUUGUCUGGUUAAUUCCGAUAACGAACGAGACUCUAGCCUGCUAACUAGUUGCGCCGUGUUCAUACGCGGCUGUAGACUUCUUAGAGGGACAGGUGGCGUUUAGCCACACGAAAUUGAGCAAUAACAGGUCUGUGAUGCCCUUAGAUGUCCGGGGCCGCACGCGCGCUACACUGAAGGAGUCAGCGUGUGCUAUCCGGGCUCGGAAGAGUUCGGUAACCCGUUGAAACUCCUUCGUGCUUGGGAUUGUGGCUUGUAAUUAUCGCGCAUGAACGAGGAAUUCCCAGUAAGUGCAAGUCAUCAGCUUGCGCUGACUACGUCCCUGCCCUUUGUACACACCGCCCGUCGCUACUACCGAUUGAAUGGUUUAGCAAGGUACUCGGAUUGGUCUCGAUCUUGUACGAAAGUGCGGGAUCUGUGGCCGAGAAGAAGGCCAAACUUGAUCAUUUAGAGGAAGUAAA
RNAcentral lists this ribosomal RNA (1289 nucleotides) under metagenome. RNAcentral's name for it is "SSU rRNA". It matches the Rfam family "Eukaryotic small subunit ribosomal RNA", at positions 483 to 1786 of the family's 1831-position model. The record is from RNAcentral.